This 888-nucleotide ribosomal RNA is filed under the name uncultured bacterium. Its description in RNAcentral is "bacterial SSU rRNA". It matches the Rfam family "Bacterial small subunit ribosomal RNA", at positions 566 to 1455 of the family's 1533-position model. The record is from RNAcentral.
CGAGCGCAGGCGGUUAGAAAAGUCUGAAGUGAAAGGCAGUGGCUCAACCAUUGUAGGCUUUGGAAACUGUUUAACUUGAGUGCAGAAGGGGAGAGUGGAAUUCCAUGUGUAGCGGUGAAAUGCGUAGAUAUAUGGAGGAACACCGGUGGCGAAAGCGGCUCUCUGGUCUGUCACUGACGCUGAGGCUCGAAAGCGUGGGGAGCGAACAGGAUUAGAUACCCUGGUAGUCCACGCCGUAAACGAUGAGUGCUAGGUGUUGGGUCCUUUCCGGGGCUCAGUGCCGCAGCUAACGCAUUAAGCACUCCGCCUGGGGAGUACGACCGCAAGGUUGAAACUCAAAGGAAUUGACGGGGGCCCGCACAAGCGGUGGAGCAUGUGGUUUAAUUCGAAGCAACGCGAAGAACCUUACCAGGUCUUGACAUCCCAGUGACCACCCUAGAGAUAGGGUUUCCCUUCGGGGCACUGGUGACAGGUGGUGCAUGGUUGUCGUCAGCUCGUGUCGUGAGAUGUUGGGUUAAGUCCCGCAACGAGCGCAACCCUUAUUGUUAGUUGCCAUCAUUGAGUUGGGCACUCUAGCGAGACUGCCGGUAAUAAACCGGAGGAAGGUGGGGAUGACGUCAAAUCAUCAUGCCCCUUAUGACCUGGGCUACACACGUGCUACAAUGGCUGGUACAACGAGUCGCAAGCCGGUGACGGCAAGCUAAUCUCUGAAAGCCAGUCUCAGUUCGGAUUGUAGGCUGCAACUCGCCUACAUGAAGUCGGAAUCGCUAGUAAUCGCGGAUCAGCACGCCGCGGUGAAUACGUUCCCGGGCCUUGUACACACCGCCCGUCACACCACGAGAGUUUGUAACACCCGAAGUCGGUGAGGUAACCGUAAGGAGCCAGCCG